UGUAGGUGUUUCUGAAAUGAAAGGUUGAUCAAGCAGCAUCCAAACACUGUGUUUUGGUGUAAUAUUCCCAGUACUUUUCCAACUCUAUUUCACAACAAACUUUUUAGUUCCCAGGGAUGUUUUGCUCAGUUAAGGCAGAGGCCGGUCUGGGUCAGUGAAAGACAAUAAGCAGAAAAUCCUUCCUAAAAGAGUUAGAGACAAAAGAACAUUUUGAGAAGCAAAUCCUUCUUCCUUGACUGGUGCUGGAGGGAAGCUGUUGAUUAAAUGGUCUUUAGUGAUGCUGGAUGAUGCUCUUCUAUAUUCUACUCCUGGGAACCAGCAUUUAUUAUCUUUCGGAUCUGAGGAGAGGUACAAAAGACCUGUGUUGCUAAUUGGUGUAGCAGCUGGCAUAUAGUUAUUUGUUGCCAGAGACGUGCACUUUGCAUUUAAGGGUUCUAAUGUUUCAAUUUCACUUGUGACGGCGCUGUCUAGAGGCAAAAGCUGUGAUGUUUGUGUUCAAGCCCAGCCUGUUCACAGCACUGAAGAUUCACCUUGUCUGCCACAGUAUAUUUCCCCAUCCUUGGGUAAUAUAAUUACCCUGAAUAAGGAAAGGAAGUGUGAGGAAAUCAUGCUGAGCCUCACAGCAGCUUGGGGGAAUGAUGCUGGAGCAAUCUCAUAACCACUACCAGUGCACUCACCUUAGCUGAUGUCCACUUUAGCAUGACUUUGACAGGAGAAACUCUGGAAAACAGCAUUUUCAGGAGUAAAACAGGAGAUGAAGGCUUGCCAGCGUUUAUCAUCUGACAGUAAGUAAGUAAACAAGUUGGCAGCAACAUCUAAGAUUAUCUCCUCUCUGCUUGGGACUGGGUUAUAUUUCAGCUGAGCCUGUGACGGAAGAGAAGAACUUGUGUUUAUUUUUAUCUUCAGCUUUCACAUUGGUAGUUGUUUUUGUUCCAAGACACUGUGGUGCUUGGAGCUGGACUGGGCUAGAAGGUGUUGGGGUCCAACAAAGGACUUCUAGGGAGUCACAUUGCCGUGAGGCCACACAGACACCAUUCCACAGUGUAACAGCAUCACCUCCAAGGCAGGUUAGACAUGCCCUCUUCCAGAGCAUGUGGUUUGAUCCUGUCACCAUUUGCCUUCCUUGGAAGAAUUUCUUCUAAACUGCCUUUUAUCUACUUUUCUCCUUCUAAAUCUCCAUUGCAAUUGUUCAUAGUUGGCUGUGAUUAGUUUGUCUUUCUACGGCUUUCCUGCACUGAAUAACCACCAUUUUAUUUUAAUUAUUGGAACACAAUAAGAAAAAGAAUUUGGGAGAAAAGGAAUAAGCUGUGAGACUAUCUAUUUGUAGCAUUGGUUUCCUGUGUCUACCAACAAGUUUUUCACUUGCCUAGAUAAAGUGAACUCAUCACCACAGCUUGGAAUGGAGAGCUGAAAGUGUCCCAGAAAAAGGAAGAAACAGGCUCAGUGAAUGGAAUGACUUCUCUGUGAGAAAAAGCAAAAUAUACUGGGUAUUUUCAUCUUGGUGAAGAGAUGAAGCCUGAUAACAUCAUGAAUGGAUGAAACCCCAGAAGUUACUAUGUCACCAGGAGCAGGAGAAGGCCACUCAGUGCCUGUAUUACUUCUCAUACGCUUCACUUGAGUGUUUCCUUCUGACCACACUCAGGAUAUAGAGUCAGGCUUUUCCACAUCUUCCAUCACUGUCUGACAUGGGAGACCUAAACUUAUCAGUGUCUGUCCCUCACAGCUCUUCAAAAUGUCAGAGAAACAGCCAAAUCCAUAUUUACAAGGGGAUCACUGUCCUAGGAAGGGUCUACUGGGAUGGGAAAGGCCCUGAGGGACUGACAACCGCCUUCUUCCUCCCCAUGCUCUGUGGUGUCCUGGAGAAUUGGCCAUGCAGCACCUUGCCAUGCCAGCCCUUCUCCUGCCAGAUCUCCCAGAACCUGCCGCCUCUGGGAGUUCAUCCAGUCCUUAUGACUAAGGCACAGUGAGAGAGGAAAAAAACCCCUCAGUGCAGCAAAGCCCUCAAGUCCUUAGUCAACAUCGAAGUGAAGCCUACGUGGUUUGGUCAAAAUCCAGCAGCACAUCUGUGGAAGAGGUGGGAGCUGGAUCCAACUCUCUUCUGACUUGGAUAGUAACCUGUAAUUACAGUUGUCAGACUGUAAGACACCUAAUAUAUCCUUCUUCAAUAUUCUUUUUUC
Long non-coding RNA from Chiroxiphia lanceolata (lance-tailed manakin), 2177 nucleotides. RefSeq lists it as uncharacterized. The transcript has 4 exons. NCBI's taxonomy places the organism in Eukaryota, Metazoa, Chordata, Aves, Passeriformes, Pipridae. The record is from RefSeq and is a predicted model, not a curated record.